Molecule: RNA transcript, 1568 nt
Organism: Juglans microcarpa x Juglans regia
Lineage: Eukaryota; Viridiplantae; Streptophyta; Magnoliopsida; Fagales; Juglandaceae
Exons: 3
Source: RefSeq, a predicted model, not a curated record
AUCUCUCUCCCUCUCUCUCUCUCUCUCAAGAGAGAUACAGCACUAUAAUGACUCUUUCUUGUCCCCUCUGCUUCCUCUGGUUCCAAACGUCGCAAGCCGGCCUUACCCAAUCCACACACUCCCAAAAUCACAACCAUCUCUAGCGAAUUCUAGCUCUUAUUUUGAUUCAUUCGGUUGUGAGCUUUGCGAUAGUUAUAGGCACCGAAAAAUCCCGAUCUGAAGGUGGAUUCGAAUUCCUUGUUAUUUCGGCCUUUUCGUCUUCUGUGUCGGUCGGGUUUGCGUUUAGAAUCGUGGGUGUUCGAUCUGGUUCUCCGAUUUAUUUUUUUGGGUUUGUUUCAAUCAGAGAUUGGCUUCAAUUUCUGGGCUCCGUUUGAAAUGGUCUAUUUCCAUUGCUUAAUCUCGGUCUGCAACUCCGUUGACCAACCCACAGCCAUGGCUGACACGAAAUCAAGGCUAAAUAAUCCUUUAUCGAGGAAUAGAAAGGCGCUCCAUUCGCCGAGUUCUUCGAAAACCCCAGUUUGUGAUCGAUCUCGAUCGGUGGUAAUAGAUAUAGUAAUCCUUAUAGCAGUUAUUGGCGCUUGCGGGUUUUUGCUGUUCCCUUAUAUCAGGUUUGUGGCCGUCGAGCUUGUCGGAAUUGUUGGAGCGAUUGUUUCUUUUGUUAAAGAGGAAGUUUCUACUGCUCCGUUGUUAUAUGGUUCUAUAGGACUAAGCGUUUGUUGUUCUGCACUGGCUGCCUGGAUGGUUGUGAUAUUUACUAGCCGGAAGUGUGGGAAUCCGAAUUGCAAGGGACUGAGGAAGGCGGCAGAGUUCGAUAUUCAGUUGGAGACAGAGGAGUGUGUGAAGAGCUCGUCUAAUUUGGUUAAAGAUGGAGGAGUGAAGAAGGGUCUAUUUGAAUUGCCACGCGACCACCACCGGGAAUUGGAGGCGGAGCUCAAGAAGAUGGCACCCCCUAAUGGAAGAGCGGUUCUUGUUUUCCGAGGGAGGUGUGGGUGUUCUGUGGGUAGAUUGGAAGUUCCGGGGCCGAAGAAGCAUCGGAAGAACAAAAGGUUUAGAUGGGAUCCAUAGCAGGAUCACAGUCAUUGGACGGAAACAGCAUGCGUGGCACGAUUCAUUCCUUCUAUCUAUGUUUGCACCACACUGCAUGAAUUGAUAAUUUGUGCAUUCCCCAUUAAUCAGUAAGCCAUUGAAAAGCUCAUCAAUUGUCAAAAAACAUUCUGGAAAUGCAGUCUGUGCAUGACCGCGCGAGAUUAUUCUGAGGCUUUAAUGGAGGGUUGUAUGAAAUUAAUCUUUAAAAGUCAGCGCUUAUUCACGAAUCAAGUGUUCUUCAAUGAUGAUUUGUGCUUCGAAGUGUACUGCCUCGUUUUGGUUCCCUACUAAUCAUGUUAAUCUAGGUCCUUAUUCUGCAUGUAACACACCAAGUUCUUUGGUCUUCUCCUUUUGCUGUCAACGUAACACCAAAGUUUAUCUUGAUCUACAACCCUGUACUGUGGCCAUGCAUUCAUUCUUAGUGUCCUGACUAUUUGUGACUAUUGCUAUCCAUGCAAUCGAGGCUUAGCUAUUUGUGAUCA